GAUGAACGCUAGCUACAGGCUUAACACAUGCAAGUCGAGGGGAAACGACAUCGAAAGCUUGCUUUUGAUGGGCGUCGACCGGCGCACGGGUGAGUAACGCGUAUCCAACCUGCCCAUCACUUGGGAAUAACCUUGCGAAAGUAAGACUAAUACCCAAUGAUAUCCCACGAAGGCAUCGGAAUGGGAUUAAAGAUUUAUCGGUGAUGGAUGGGGAUGCGUCUGAUUAGCUUGUUGGCGGGGUAACGGCCCACCAAGGCAACGAUCAGUAGGGGUUCUGAGAGGAAGGUCCCCCACAUUGGAACUGAGACACGGUCCAAACUCCUACGGGAGGCAGCAGUGAGGAAUAUUGGUCAAUGGGCGAGAGCCUGAACCAGCCAAGUAGCGUGCAGGAAGACGGCCCUAUGGGUGGUAAACUGCUUUUAUAAGGGAAUAAAGUGGGUCACGUGUGACUUUUUGCAUGUACCUUAUGAAUAAGGACCGGCUAAUUCCGUG
Molecule: ribosomal RNA, 492 nt
Filed under: uncultured bacterium
Lineage: Bacteria
Description: partial 16S ribosomal RNA
Rfam family: Bacterial small subunit ribosomal RNA
Source: RNAcentral